RNAcentral lists this transfer RNA (87 nucleotides) under Patescibacteria group bacterium. RNAcentral's name for it is "tRNA-Leu". It matches the Rfam family "tRNA". From Rfam's summary of the family: Transfer RNA (tRNA) molecules are approximately 80 nucleotides in length. The record is from RNAcentral.
GCCACGGUGGUGGAACUGGUAUACACGAAGGACUUAAAAUCCUUUGAGAGUAAUCUCAUGCGGGUCCGAUUCCCGCCCGUGGCACCA